GCUUGACAGCGCGUUAACUUUACAGAUAUGGUUUAAAAUCUUACGGGCAUUCGAAGACCGUUGGGUCCGAAUCGAUCGAAAAAAUGAGGCAAAUCGUCGUAAAAAGGAGACGAGAAACGUAGCCAGGAAACGGCGAACCACGAGGACGCCGACACGUCGAUGAUCACUGUAAUAAUCGUAGUAACAACCGUCGACGUUAUAAAACGCAGGAUUCGCGUACAGGAAUGUUUCCAACAUCGAUGAUGGGAAUUUUGUUUUUAUCAUUGAAAUACUGAAAAUUGGAAAUAUUAUGUAUUAUGCAAAUAUUCCAGCAAUCUGCAAUUCGUUUGAUGUUUCAGAAGUGAUAAUUUAUAAUUGAUCCAAGUUAGGUUAUUUUAAUUGAAACGUCAUUAUAAUUUGAAAUCAAAUAAUUUGGCAAAUCUGAACUUGGUUAAUUACUUACAAGAUUCAUUUAUACAGCGGCACUCCGUAGAAAAUACAACUUUUUACUUUCAAAGUAACACGAAGUUUCAUAUUAAAAUUAAGAUUCAUCCUAUACGUAUAUUAUGAUUCA
This is a long non-coding RNA of Bombus impatiens (common eastern bumble bee), 553 nucleotides long. RefSeq lists it as uncharacterized. NCBI's taxonomy places the organism in Eukaryota, Metazoa, Arthropoda, Insecta, Hymenoptera, Apidae. The record is from RefSeq and is a predicted model, not a curated record. The transcript has 3 exons.